UGGGGAAUAUUGCACAAUGGGCGAAAGCCUGAUGCAGCAACGCCGCGUGAGUGAUGAAGGCCUUCGGGUUGUAAAGCUCUGUCUUUUGGGACGAUAAUGACGGUACCAAAGGAGGAAGCCACGGCUAACUACGUGCCAGCAGCCGCGGUAAUACGUAGGUGGCAAGCGUUGUCCGGAUUUACUGGGCGUAAAGGAUGCGUAGGCGGAUUUUUAAGUGAGAUGUGAAAUACCCGGGCUUAACUUGGGCGCUGCAUUUCAAACUGGGAAUCUAGAGUGCGGGAGAGGAGAAUGGAAUUCCUAGUGUAGCGGUGAAAUGCGUAGAGAUUAGGAAGAACACCAGUGGCGAAGGCGAUUCUCUGGACCGUAACUGACGCUGAGGCAUGAAAGCGUGGGUAGCAAACAGGAUUAGAUACCCUGGUAGUCCACGCCGUAAACGAUGAGUACUAGGUGUAGGAGGUAUCGACCCCUUCUGUGCCGCAGUUAACACAAUAAGUACUCCGCCUGGGAAGUACGAUCGCAAGAUUAAAACUCAAAGGAAUUGACGGGGUC
Molecule: ribosomal RNA, 549 nt
Filed under: uncultured bacterium
Lineage: Bacteria
Description: partial 16S ribosomal RNA
Rfam family: Bacterial small subunit ribosomal RNA
Source: RNAcentral